UACGGAGGGUGCAAGCGUUAUCCGGAUUCACUGGGUUUAAAGGGUGCGUAGGUGGGUUGGUAAGUCAGUGGUGAAAUCCCCGAGCUUAACUUGGGAACUACCAUUGAUACUAUCAGUCUUGAAUAUUGUGGAGGUUAGCGGAAUAUGUCAUGUAGCGGUGAAAUGCUUAGAUAUGACAUAGAACACCAAUUGCGAAGGCAGCUGGCUACGCAUAUAUUGACACUGAGGCACGAAAGCGUGGGGAUCAAACAGG
RNAcentral lists this ribosomal RNA (253 nucleotides) under uncultured bacterium. RNAcentral's name for it is "partial 16S ribosomal RNA". It matches the Rfam family "Bacterial small subunit ribosomal RNA", at positions 524 to 776 of the family's 1533-position model. The record is from RNAcentral.